UUGUCUUUUUUCUCAUUUUUUUCAAAUACGUAUUUGAACAAAAUGAAAAUGAGAAAAAAGACAAUUUGUGCAACUAAGUAAAAUAUAUUGUUGUAGUGUAUAUACCAUUAAAUUCAUGAUAUGAAUUGGUAUAUACCAUUCAAUUCAUGAUAUUCAUUUGAGCGCCGAACAUCCGCAAAAUUUUAUAUCCGCCACGAUGGGUGGCAAAAAGAUGUAAACAAAUGUAAAAAUUGUAAAAAGCUGUUGGGCACCAUACUGUGAAAACAGAAAAAUUGAAGGUAGCACAAUUCCUUCUCAUAGGUUUUCGAAAGAAGAAGAACGAAGAAGGUUAUGAAUUGUUUUUUUAAACAGAAAAAUUUUGCCGAAUUUGGAGUUUGCUUACAUUUGCGGUGAACAUUUUAUUACUGGAAGAAAAUAUGUUUAUAAAAAUCAUGCUGACUUUGUUCCUUCCAUUAAAAAAGUUAACAAAAACAAUAACGAUAUACCUCUUGAAUUUAAUGACAUGUCAUGUUAUUCAUCAAGGCAAAUAUAUUCAGAAAGAUUAAAUUGUUUAAAGAAGAGGAAUAAUGAAAAAGUGCUUAUUGAAGAGAAUAGUAUUAAAUGUUGUUUGCUAGAAAAAAUUGUUGAAGAAUCCAAAACUGUCAAAAUUAUAAGGGAGAUAGGAAAAGAAAUUGAGAAGUUAAAAAACUCAAUUAAAAAACUAAAAGAAGACAGUAAAGUAGAGAUUGAUUUUCUAUUUUGAUGAGGCUACUUUUAAAUUAAUAAAAGACAAAAAGAAAAUUCAAUUUUAUACAGGUCUUCCUGAUAUAAAUGUUUUUAACAUGUUUUUAACUUAAUUGAAAACCAUGUGCCAGCUAAUAAUUCUUCAACUAUGAUAAAGUUUGUAUUGUUUUAAUGAAACUGCGUCUAAGUUUGCUGGAACAAGAUAAAGCGUACAGUUUUGGUAUAAGUCAACCAACUAUAUCACAAAUUUUUGAGAAAGGCUUCUUGUAAUGGCACGCAUACUAUCCUUUUUGAUAAAGUGGCCAGAGUGAGAUAUAUAAAGGAGAACAAUGCCAACUUGUUUUCGAGAAUUUUUUCCUAAAUGUUAAAACAUGUUAAAUGUUCGAGAAUUUUUUCCUAAAUGUUAAAUGGAAAAGUAUUUGACGUUUAUGUUACAGAAAAUUCUGGAAUAUUAAAUAAUCUAUUUAUUGGUGAUCAGGUGUUAGCAGGCAUAGGUUUUACCAUUGCAGAUUCCGUUGGUUUAUAUUGUGCCAAAUGAAAACUUCUUGCCUUUACACGAGUAAAGUCUCAGCUAUCUCAAAUAGAAGUUGAUUGGACGCAAGAGAUUGCCCGUGUACAAAUACAAGUUGAACAUUUAAUUGGGCUCCUUAAAAAUAAAUACACAAUUUUACAAGGAAUACUUCCUAAUAAACUAAUUAGUCGAGCAGAUGAUAAAAUAUGUAAACUAAAUGAUAUUUUAAAUGUUUGCUCUGUUUUAUGUAAACCUUUAUGUAACCUUUGUCGUGGAGUAAUCCCUAUUGAUUGACUUUUAUUUUAAUAUAUAAAAAUACAUAAA
Non-coding RNA from Hydra vulgaris (swiftwater hydra), 1558 nucleotides. NCBI's taxonomy places the organism in Eukaryota, Metazoa, Cnidaria, Hydrozoa, Anthoathecata, Hydridae. The record is from RefSeq and is a predicted model, not a curated record.